GCCGGGGUGGCGAAAUGGCAGACGCGCCAGCCUUAGGAGCUGGUGGCCGCAAGGCCGUGCGGGUUCGAGUCCCGCUCCCGGCA
Molecule: transfer RNA, 83 nt
Filed under: Thermomicrobiales bacterium
Lineage: Bacteria; Pseudomonadati; Thermomicrobiota; Thermomicrobia; Thermomicrobiales
Description: tRNA-Leu
Rfam family: tRNA
About the family: Transfer RNA (tRNA) molecules are approximately 80 nucleotides in length. Their secondary structure includes four short double-helical elements and three loops (D, anti-codon, and T loops).
Source: RNAcentral